Molecule: non-coding RNA, 30 nt
Filed under: Mus musculus (house mouse)
Lineage: Eukaryota; Metazoa; Chordata; Mammalia; Rodentia; Muridae
Source: RNAcentral
UAAAGACUGGAUGGACCUCUCUUUACCUCU